UGGUUAAAAAGCUCGUAGUUGGAUCUCAACAGCCUUGAAGCGGUUAACUUUGUAGUUUUACUGCUUUAUAGGCUGUGCUUUUGCUGGAGGUUUAGGGGUGCUCUUGAUCGAGUGUCUCUGGAUGCCAGCAGGUUUACUUUGAAAAAAUUAGAGUGCUCAAAGCAGGCUAAAAUGCCUGAAUAUUCGUGCAUGGAAUAAUAGAAUAGGAUGUCGAUCCUAUAUUGUUGGUUUUCGGGACUCGACAUAAUGAUAAAUAGGGACAGUCGGGGCAUUUGUAUUCAAACGACAGAGGUGAAAUUCUUGGACCGUUUGAAGACAAACUACUGCGAAAGCAUUUGCCAAGAAUGUUUUCAUUAAUCAAGAACGAAAGUUAGAGGUUCGAAGGCGAUUAGAUACCGCCCUAGUUCUAACCAUAAACGAUGCCAGCUAGCGAUCUGCCUGCGUUUUUACUGUAGACUGGGCAGGAAGCUUCCGGGAAACCAAAGCAUUUGGGUUCCAGGGGAAGUAUGGUUGCAAAGCUGAAACUUAAAGGAAUUGACGGAAGGGCACCACCAGGAGUGGAGCCUGUGGCUUAAUUUGACUCAACACGGGAAAUCUCACCAGGCCCGGAC
This 611-nucleotide ribosomal RNA is filed under the name uncultured marine eukaryote. Its description in RNAcentral is "SSU rRNA". It matches the Rfam family "Eukaryotic small subunit ribosomal RNA", at positions 616 to 1229 of the family's 1831-position model. The record is from RNAcentral.